AAGAAAUUGGUGGUCUCGAGGAAAAGUUGGUUCCUUUUGGUGUGGAAGAGGGUUUGAUGUUGCUGAAGGCGUCAUUUGAAUGCAAGAAUGUGCUUACCACUGUGUUUAUG
This is a long non-coding RNA of Cynara cardunculus var. scolymus (artichoke), 110 nucleotides long. RefSeq lists it as uncharacterized. The record is from RefSeq and is a predicted model, not a curated record. Lineage: Eukaryota; Viridiplantae; Streptophyta; Magnoliopsida; Asterales; Asteraceae. The transcript has 2 exons.